GAUGAACGCUGGCGGCGUGCCUAAUACAUGCAAGUCGAGCGAACGGACGAGGAGCUUGCUUUUCUGAUGUUAGCGGCGGACGGGUGAGUAACACGUGGAUAACCUACCUAUAAGACUGGGAUAACUUCGGGAAACCGGAGCUAACCCGGGAGAAGCUUUUGAACCAUGGGGUGCAAAGGAAAAAUUCGGCGUUGUGGUAUGUAAUCGCGGCUUCUCGGCUGCUUGAGCUGGUUGUUAAGUUACCGGCUUACCAAGGCAACGAGGCCUAGCCGACUUGAGAGGGUGAUCGGCCACACGGGAACGGGAACACGCACCAGAGUCCUACGGGAGGCAGCAGUAGGGAAUCGGCCGCAAUGGGCGAAAGCCUGACGGAGCAACGCCGCGUGAGUGAUGAAGGUCUUCGGAUCGUAAAACUCUGUUAUUAGGGAAGAACAGAUGUGUAAGGAACUGUGCACAUCUUGACGGUACCUAAUCAGAAAGCCACGGCUAACUACGUG
RNAcentral lists this ribosomal RNA (497 nucleotides) under uncultured bacterium. RNAcentral's name for it is "partial 16S ribosomal RNA". It matches the Rfam family "Bacterial small subunit ribosomal RNA", at positions 28 to 507 of the family's 1533-position model. The record is from RNAcentral.